RNAcentral lists this ribosomal RNA (859 nucleotides) under Pseudomonas orientalis. RNAcentral describes it as "bacterial SSU rRNA". It matches the Rfam family "Bacterial small subunit ribosomal RNA", at positions 63 to 918 of the family's 1533-position model. Lineage: Bacteria; Pseudomonadati; Pseudomonadota; Gammaproteobacteria; Pseudomonadales; Pseudomonadaceae. The record is from RNAcentral.
CGAGCGGUAGAGAGAAGCUUGCUUCUCUUGAGAGCGGCGGACGGGUGAGUAAAGCCUAGGAAUCUGCCUGGUAGUGGGGGAUAACGUUCGGAAACGGACGCUAAUACCGCAUACGUCCUACGGGAGAAAGCAGGGGACCUUCGGGCCUUGCGCUAUCAGAUGAGCCUAGGUCGGAUUAGCUAGUUGGUGAGGUAAUGGCUCACCAAGGCGACGAUCCGUAACUGGUCUGAGAGGAUGAUCAGUCACACUGGAACUGAGACACGGUCCAGACUCCUACGGGAGGCAGCAGUGGGGAAUAUUGGACAAUGGGCGAAAGCCUGAUCCAGCCAUGCCGCGUGUGUGAAGAAGGUCUUCGGAUUGUAAAGCACUUUAAGUUGGGAGGAAGGGCAGUUACUUAAUACGUGAUUGUUUUGACGUUACCGACAGAAUAAGCACCGGCUAACUCUGUGCCAGCAGCCGCGGUAAUACAGAGGGUGCAAGCGUUAAUCGGAAUUACUGGGCGUAAAGCGCGCGUAGGUGGUUUGUUAAGUUGGAUGUGAAAUCCCCGGGCUCAACCUGGGAACUGCAUUCAAAACUGACUGACUAGAGUGUGGUAGAGGGUGGUGGAAUUUCCUGUGUAGCGGUGAAAUGCGUAGAUAUAGGAAGGAACACCAGUGGCGAAGGCGACCACCUGGACCAACACUGACACUGAGGUGCGAAAGCGUGGGAGCAAACAGGAUUAGAUACCCUGGUAGUCCACGCCGUAAACGAUGUCAACUAGCCGUUGGGAGCCUUGAGCUCUUAGUGGCGCAGCUAACGCAUUAAGUUGACCGCCUGGGGAGUACGGCCGCAAGGUUAAAACUCAAAUGAAUUGACGGGG